GAUGAACGCUGGCGGCGUGCCUAAUACAUGCAAGUCGAGCGAACGGACGAGAAGCUUGCUUUUCUGAUGUUAGCGGCGGACGGGUGAGUAACACGUGGAUAACCUACCUAUAAGACUGGGAUAACUUCGGGGAACCGGAGCUAAUACCGGAUAAUAUUUUGAACCGCAUGGUUCAAAAGUGAAAGACGGUCUUGCUGUCACUUAUAGAUGGAUCCGCGCUGCAUUAGCUAGUUGGUAAGGUAACGGCUUACCAAGGCAACGAUGCAUAGCCGACCUGAGAGGGUGAUCGGCCACACUGGAACUGAGACACGGUCCAGACUCCUACGGGAGGCAGCAGUAGGGAAUCUUCCGCAAUGGGCGAAAGCCUGACGGAGCAACGCCGCGUGAGUGAUGAAGGUCUUCGGAUCGUAAAACUCUGUUAUUAGGGAAGAACAUAUGUGUAAGUAACUGUGCACAUCUUGACGGUACCUAAUCAGAAAGCCACGGCUAACUACGUGCCAGCAGCCGCGGUAAUACGUAGGUGGCAAGCGUUAUCCGGAAUUAUUGGGCGUAAAGCGCGCGUAGGCGGUUUUUUAAGUCUGAUGUGAAAGCCCACGGCUCAACCGUGGAGGGUCAUUGGAAACUGGAAAACUUGAGUGCAGAAGAGGAAAGUGGAAUUCCAUGUGUAGCGGUGAAAUGCGCAGGGAUGUGGAGGAACACCAGUGGCGAAGGCGACUUUCUGGUCUGUAACUGACGCUGAUGUGCGAAAGCGUGGGGAUCAAACAGGAUUAGAUACCCUGGUAGUCCACGCCGUAAACGAUGAGUGCUAAGUGUUAGGGGGUUUCCGCCCCUUAGUGCUGCAGCUAACGCAUUAAGCACUCCGCCUGGGGAGUACGACCGCAAGGUUGAAACUCAAAGGAAUUGACGGGGGCCCGCACAAGCGGUGGAGCAUGUGGUUUAAUUCGAAGCAACGCGAAGAACCUUACCAAAUCUUGACAUCCUUUGACAACUCUAGAGAUAGAGCCUUCCCCUUCGGGGGACAAAGUGACAGGUGGUGCAUGGUUGUCGUCAGCUCGUGUCGUGAGAUGUUGGGUUAAGUCCCGCAACGAGCGCAACCCUUAAGCUUAGUUGCCAUCAUUAAGUUGGGCACUCUAAGUUGACUGCCGGUGACAAACCGGAGGAAGGUGGGGAUGACGUCAAAUCAUCAUGCCCCUUAUGAUUUGGGCUACACACGUGCUACAAUGGACAAUACAAAGGGCAGCGAAACCGCGAGGUCAAGCAAAUCCCAUAAAGUUGUUCUCAGUUCGGAUUGUAGUCUGCAACUCGACUACAUGAAGCUGGAAUCGCUAGUAAUCGUAGAUCAGCAUGCUACGGUGAAUACGUUCCCGGGUCU
This 1372-nucleotide ribosomal RNA is filed under the name uncultured bacterium. Its description in RNAcentral is "bacterial SSU rRNA". It matches the Rfam family "Bacterial small subunit ribosomal RNA", at positions 28 to 1381 of the family's 1533-position model. The record is from RNAcentral.